Paramuricea clavata is the source of this 526-nucleotide non-coding RNA. Lineage: Eukaryota; Metazoa; Cnidaria; Anthozoa; Malacalcyonacea; Plexauridae. The record is from the annotation of a GenBank genome assembly.
CGGCGUUGUGCUAGACAGUAAACAAGGUCCGUGACAGUACAUGUUGGCUACAUGUACCUCCUUGCUUUUUUCUUCCAUUGCAUAAAUCUUGUUGGCGAGCCAAGCGAUUGGCGAUAACACGUUGGCGAUAACACAUUGGCUAUCUCCUCGUCUUUCUUAUUUAAAUAAGGAGCUCUGACUCAACUGAUUUCUUUCGUCUCGCAAUAUUUUCUUCGUAAACGCCUGUACAAACACCCGCUUCUGUUUAAUAGUUGUUUACGCUUUAUUGAUCUGAUGCAGAUCUGAUGAAAUUUUUCGCUCUUUGUACUGAGUUCUGUGAUGUAGCACCUUAUACAGUCAAUGACAAUGUAUAAUGAAUACACAGUCUAAAUAAUAUCGAUUGGCACUUAAUUGAAUGCCGGUAAUUAUAACAUCAAUUUAUAUAUUAUAUUAUUGCGUAGAAUCUCAAAGAUUUUCUCAAUAUUCAUGUCUGAAAUGUUUAUAUACUUGAAAACAACACUGUCUCGCUUCUUCGUACGUACUGUAC